Molecule: ribosomal RNA, 429 nt
Filed under: uncultured bacterium
Lineage: Bacteria
Description: bacterial SSU rRNA
Rfam family: Bacterial small subunit ribosomal RNA
Source: RNAcentral
UGGGGAAUUUUGGACAAUGGGCGCAAGCCUGAUCCAGCCAUUCCGCGUGAGUGAAGAAGGCCUUCGGGUUGUAAAGCUCUUUCGCAAGGGAAGAAAACUUAUCCUCUAACAUAGGAUGAGGUUGACGGUACCUUGAUAAGAAGCACCGGCUAACUACGUGCCAGCAGCCGCGGUAAUACGGAGGGUGCGAGCGUUAAUCGGAAUUACUGGGCGUAAAGAGUGCGUAGGCGGCUCGUUAAGUCAGAUGUGAAAGCCCUGGGCUCAACCUGGGAACUGCAUUUGAAACUGGCGAGCUAGAGUUGAGUAGAGGUAAGUGGAAUUUCAGGUGUAGCAGUGAAAUGCGUAGAGAUGUGGAGGAAUACCAAUGGCGAAGGCAGCCCCCUGGGAUAAUAUUGACGCUCAUGCACGAAAGCGUGGGGAGCAAACAGG